UACGUAGGGGGCGAGCGUUGUCCGGAAUCAUUGGGCGUAAAGAGCUCGUAGGCGGUUCAGUAAGUCAGGUGUGAAAGCUCCGAGCUCAACUCGGAGAGGCCACCUGAUACUGCUGUGACUAGAAUCCAGUAGGGGAGUGUGGAACUCCUGGUGUAGCGGUGAAAUGCGCAGAUAUCAGGAGGAACACCGAUGGCGAAGGCAGGUCUCUGGGCCACUACUGACGCUGGAGAAGCGAAAAGCAUGGGGAGCGAACAGG
RNAcentral lists this ribosomal RNA (256 nucleotides) under uncultured bacterium. Its description in RNAcentral is "partial 16S ribosomal RNA". It matches the Rfam family "Bacterial small subunit ribosomal RNA", at positions 524 to 776 of the family's 1533-position model. The record is from RNAcentral.